RNAcentral lists this ribosomal RNA (500 nucleotides) under Triticum aestivum (bread wheat). RNAcentral describes it as "partial small subunit ribosomal RNA". The record is from RNAcentral. Lineage: Eukaryota; Viridiplantae; Streptophyta; Magnoliopsida; Poales; Poaceae.
ACUUAUAGCCUUAGGCGCGUAGUCUUCUUAUAACACUUUGUGACGUUGCUGAAUGUUUUAACCGUGGUUCCGUAACUCACGGUAAGACCUACGUUACUCUGAGUAUGCGAGGGGUGGAGAUCUAAGAACAAGUCUUAUACUAGGAUUACUGAUAAGAUUGGAGCUCUUCAGUUUCCGUCUACCAGACAGGACAAGUAGGUAGUUCUGUAGUUUUUCCUUCCCUCACUAACGGCUUGGACUUCCUCGUGAUCGUUUCUGGAGUUUUUUGCACCACCACGGCCUCUUUAGUCUGUUGUGGGGUGAAUAUAACCGACAUGUUGGUCACUGUGUUUUGCAUCCUGGCUGAGGUCGUCUGACAUGGGUAUGAAGUGACCGGUGUGGUGAUCGGGGUGGUGUGUCCUGGACGUGAGGUCGUUUUCCGUACGGCUAAAGUCAACGGUAUCGUGGUCGGCAUGAUAUCUUUUUAGGGUGAGGUCGGUUUGCAUGUCGUUCAGGUGACC